UAAAAUGCAAGCUCUCAGGGGCAGCUAAGUGGGUCAGUGGAUUGAGAGCCAGGCUUAGAGAUGGGAAAUCCUGUGUUCAAAUAUGAUCUCAGGUACUUCCUAGCUGUGUGACCCUGGGCAAGUCAUUUAUCCCAAAUUGCAUACCUCUUAUAAAUUUUCUGUCUUGGAACCAUUUGGUUCCAAGAAGGAAGAUAAAAGUUAUUUGAAAAAAAAAAUGUAAGCUUUUUACAAGUAGACAUUGCUUCAUUAUUUGUACUUUUUAAAUUAUACAGUCCAAUACUUAUUUAUGAAGCAACCUGCUAUAUGUCAGUUACUUUGCUAAAGCACUGGUGAUUAAAAUGAAUAAAAAAAUGAUCUCUGCCCUCAGAGAACUUACAAUCUAAUGCAGAGAGGCAACAUAUAAAAUUGGAUAAGAAAGGAAGGGUUGAAAUCAGGGGGUACCCAGCAUGGGGGUGUCUUGUUCCAAGGAAUUGAAAUCAGGCAGAGUAGAAGAAAGCAGAAUGGAGUGAGCUAAAAAGUCCACUUUCUGCUCUCUCUAAAGGCAAGCACUGGGAUGAGUUUGGUACUCUUGCCUCCAGUUAGAAGGGAGAGGAGAGGAAGGCAGGUGGUGUCAAUCAAGGUGUGAGUUAGCAGAGCGGUGAUAAGAUUAGAUGUGAUGAGCUCAACCUGGGAAGAGUAUCUUGUAUCUGUGGAGUUGAAAACAGGCAGGGCAGCAGAUGCAGAGUGGAGUGAGCAGAUGGAGUACUUAUAUUUGCAGCAUCUAGUCCAGUGCCUGGCACAUGGGAGGAAGAAGAAACAGCGUGCAUCCUAUAGGUGUUCCCCAGGCCUGACUCCUGUGGAAGAAAUGGAGAUGAGAACUACAGGGGAAGUGGAGAGAGUAUGGAUAAGUGAGACAUGGAUGAAGAAGCUCUGGAGGGGGCAGAAGGCUCAGUCUAACAGGAUGAUCUGUGUUGCCUCUGGGCUAACUUCAGAAGAGCCAAGUGGCAGCUACUGACUCACCAUUUCCUGUGUCACGUAGUUCUUUCCAAGGUGAUCACCUCUGCACUAUAUGGAUGAGUGAAUUGGAGAAAACCUGCAACAGAGCCAAAGGAGUAAGGUUUGCAGAAGCUGUCAAUCAAGGAGCCUUCUGGAAAAGAAUAUCACCGGAGGGAGACUGUUGAAGGGAAGCAUUCAAACUGUUGGAAUUGUCUCUUUCUCCUGAGACAGGAAGGAGUAAGGACUGAGAAGAUCCUCUUCUUACUGAUUCUCUUUUCUGUAUUAGAAAGUGACUCAAAGAUCCUCAAUCCUGUGAGCCAUAUCCCUCAAUCCAAGACUCUACUAUACUAUUCUUUAAUUUAGGAUUAUUUUAAGAUCAGGGAAACCCUAAAACCUCUCUCCCAUCCAAUUUCCUUUCCCUUCCCCUUUCCUUAAAUAAACCCCUUGUUCUAACUAUUCA
This 1435-nucleotide long non-coding RNA is filed under the name Monodelphis domestica (gray short-tailed opossum). RNAcentral's name for it is "lncRNA (ENSMODG00000031832.2)". The record is from RNAcentral. Lineage: Eukaryota; Metazoa; Chordata; Mammalia; Didelphimorphia; Didelphidae.